This 30-nucleotide non-coding RNA is filed under the name Mus musculus (house mouse). Lineage: Eukaryota; Metazoa; Chordata; Mammalia; Rodentia; Muridae. The record is from RNAcentral.
UUACCUCACAACGUCUGGCUUCUUUCAGGG